GGGCCAUGAUUAGUCAUUUAUCCGCGCUUCUGAGAUUAAUUCCAUGAAGUAGAGGAUGUAAAAUAAUGGUUGAAUUUCUUAAUAUGAGCCC
Molecule: non-coding RNA, 91 nt
Organism: Spinacia oleracea (spinach)
Lineage: Eukaryota; Viridiplantae; Streptophyta; Magnoliopsida; Caryophyllales; Amaranthaceae
Source: Rfam